GGAGCACCUUGUUGUGAUACGUAAUAUGUGGGGUUACGCAAUACGUACAGGGUGUACCGGAAGUGUCUGUGUAGUUGAACUAUGUUGAGCACCUAGUAAAGAAGUUCAAACCAACCUAUAAUGAAGUCCAGUAAUACUUCAUGGGGGCAGCGGUAAACAGCUACAGUAUCACCGCGUGAGUGUUCGUGACCAGUGAAGCGGAAACUUAUCAUGCCGCGAAGUCUAAUAACCUGGUUGCUGUAUAACGCGCGAAUCCACUCCACGACGCGAUCUCUUGUACACCAAUGUGGGACCGGGAAGAAGCGCAUUGUCUGCGUGAUAACUGCUAAAAGGUCCAGAGUAACUUGACGACAAAACACGGAAAAGUAAACAACUGCUUUUAAAGUGAGUACAAGAUAAACGCAACAAAAUGGCAUCACAUUUACCGAUGAUGAACUGGUCAGACCCCGAUUUGAGCGAAGCAAUGUCUUUAUUCAGACAAAAAAUUAAUCUGUACCUGGAGGAUGAAGAGAUAACAGAUGCAGAAAAGCAAGCUAGGAAAAUUUGUAGAGGAAUUGGAGAUGAAGGAUUGAAACGACUCAAUGCAAGUGGGCUCAGUGAUGCAGACAAGAAAAAGCCUGACACCUUGUGGCAUUUUUUUGAAGGACAACUAAAAUUAAAUGUGAACUUUAGAAUUCACAGGCUCCAUCUCAUGCAAUACAGGCAAAAACCAAAUGAGAGCAUUGAUGACUUUGUGACUAGAGCCAGAACUGUAGCACUAAAAUGCCAAUUUACCGAAGAGGAGCUUAAUGAACGUAUCGUUGAGCUCAUCAUUGCCAGUACUCCUUUUGGUGCUCUCCGAAAUGAUCUCUACAGCAAGCCCAAAGGCCACCCCAUUGCUGACGUACUAGCAGAGGGGAGAAAGUAUGAAGCCUUAGCAGCUGGAAACGAACAGAUACAACAGCUUGGCAUGUCAAACACUGAAAAGGUUCAUACUAUAACUAGAGGACGAACAUGUCAAAACUGUGACACAAACCACAAGCCAAGACAGUGUCCGGCAUACAAUGAUACAUGCUCUAUGUGUGGUAACAGAGGCCACUGGGGAAACUGUUGUAGAAAGAGCAGACGACAAAGACAGCCAUCCAACCAGCACAGAAGGAGUAAGUCACGAACACGCAACAGAUACCAAAGCCACAUCAACCCAAGGAAAGACUACAAACGCAAAGAUGAAACCAGCAUCGAUGUUGUACAUAGUAUUAAAGAUGAUGACGAGUAUGCAUACCAAAAACACUUUUACUCCAUCACUAUCAGUGCAAAGUGCAUGCACAGCAUCCAUGUGAAACCACCCAGGGAUGAGGCAUACACAACUCUGAAUGUUAAACCACCCUUCCUGCAAGGACAUGGAUACACGCUUCGCCUGAAAAUAGAUACCGGGGCAUCUGGAAACACACUUCCAUUUCGUACAUUCAAGCAGAUGUAUGGUACAUCGACACAAAGCAUGGAACAUCUUAAGCCAGCAUCCAAUGUAAAACUAACAUCAUACACUGGUGAUGUAAUUCCCUGCUUCGGAACUAUCAGCAUGCCAUGCCAGUACAAAGAAUCCAGAUGGAUAGAUGCAAAAUUUUACGUUGUUGAUGUACCUGGACCAGCUGUGGUUGGCCUACCCACAUGUGAGCUCCUCAGUCUUGUGACAGUAAAUGUUGAUGUGAUGGCGGAAAAAGGAAACAAUGUGAAGGUGGGAAGACAAACAAACGAGAGUACCCGACAACACAUAAAAAGCAUCAAAGAACUGAAAGAGAAAUACCCAGACCAAUUUGAUAAAAUAGGCAGUUUCAAAGGCACAGCAAAGCU
Molecule: long non-coding RNA, 1830 nt
Filed under: Sinocyclocheilus anshuiensis
Lineage: Eukaryota; Metazoa; Chordata; Actinopteri; Cypriniformes; Cyprinidae
Description: lncRNA (ENSSANG00000033728.1)
Source: RNAcentral